CCAAAAUGACUCUCUAGGGUUUUCACAUUUUGGUGCGAAUGGGAUGAUGGGGUCUUCCACAGCUCUCGGCCAUAGUAACGUUGGUCUCUUGGAGAGCAAGUAUGGCGGUUUGCUUUCACCGAUCCCUAGACCUAUUGAUUUUUUGGACAGUAAGUUUGAUCUCAUGGGAGUGAACAAUGACAAUCUAGUCAUGGGUUAAUCAUAGCCGUCGGAUAGAUAAAGAUGUUUGGUCAAGUUGACGUGGACCCACAAAAGGUAAUGUGGGUCCAAGGAUUUUGGAACCACCGACGCUUUCUUUUUUCCGUAUUAUAGUCCACCUAUACACUUAUUUAAUUACAUAGAGAUCAAUUUACAAAUAAAUCGUAAUGAAAGUUUUCACUUUUAUCAUGAUCACCAAAGCAACGCGUAUUAACUUUUCAAAAAUCAAAUUUUCUUUUAGAGUUUAAACUGGAAGCAAAACAUAUUGAUUGAGUAAUUUUCUGAACAAUUUUUAAAAAUGUAAGAAAUUAGGGAAUAUAGAUGAGUCAUGAGACUUAGAAUUACCCACCAUAUCGGCAUAUCUUACAUUCAUUCCAGAUAGAACAUUCAAAGAAAACUCCGCGGUUAAGCUUUAUUGCCCAUAGAAAAGUAAGAGUUACAAAUAGUCACAAAGAAGAAAAACAAAAAAACAAAAACAUGAAAACAAUUUAAUAAAACUAUUGAAUUACAAUUUUACGUACAUUAGUACGUGGGUUUAGAACUUAAGAUAAGACACCUGAGUUAUGGGAGAGCAAAAUGAAUGAUUAAAGUUCAUAUAGAUAAAAUGAACAAGGUUUAUGAAAUUAUUUGUUAAGUUGAAAUGAUAUUUUCUUAUUGGAAAUAGUAGUGUUAAACUAAAAAUAAAAAGUAAAAACCAAUUUGUAAAUGUGAACUUAACUAAGUACAGUAGAAGUGGUUUUGAGUGGAGACAGCAAUCCCGAGGCGAAGGGUCCUCUUCUUGCUUCCUUCUUAUUCACACCCCAACCCCCAAACUCUUCAUUGCCUAAUCUCCUCUCUUUCUUCUCUCUCUCUAGAUUUUGUUCAUGUAUGAACUUGUCUUAAAAUUCUGACUCUCCCCAACUAAACAAAACAAAACAAAACACAAUAUGGGUCUCACUUCUCUUCAAGUUUGCAUGGAUUCUGACUGGCUCCAGGUAUCUCCAGUUAGGCCUAGAUUAUAUGUAUUUGCGUUUGCAUUUACGUUUAAACUUAGUAUAUUUCUUUCAAAGAACAUAAAAUUGAAACUUUUAACAGAAUUAUUUUGUUAAUUGUAAUUUGUAAAUGUAAAAAACAUUUACGUUUACGUUUGACAUUUUUGUUUACACAGCUGAAAAAAAAUCUUUUAGUAGAUGUGAUUUUUGUUUCUUAUGAUUUUGUUUUUGUCUCAUGCAAACACAUGCAAAUGUCUCAUGUGCAAAAAAAUGGUAUGAAACAGUUUUUAGACCUCACUCAUCUCGAACCAUCGUUCUAAUUUGGCGUGCGAAACUUUAAAGGAAAACAAUUAUAUUGAUCUUAUACUGUUAACACAUUUUGAUAUGGUUAUGUGAAUCUUAAUAUUAGGAUGAGUCAUCAGGAGGAAGCAUGUUAGACUCUACAUCGACUUCUCCAUCACCAGCCGACAUACUAGCUGCUUGCAGCACUAGACCACAAGCCUCGGCCAUGGCUGUAGCCGCGGCUGCUCUGAUGGACGGUGGAAGGAGGCUGCGUCCACCUCACGACCAUCCUCAGAAGUGUCCUCGUUGCGAGUCAACACAUACUAAGUUCUGCUACUACAAUAACUAUAGUCUCUCUCAGCCUCGUUACUUCUGCAAGACUUGUCGCCGUUACUGGACCAAAGGCGGCACUCUAAGGAAUAUUCCGGUCGGUGGUGGCUGCCGGAAAAACAAGAAACCCUCUUCCUCUAAUUCUUCAUCCUCCACGUCUUCCGGAAAAAAGCCAUCCAACGUUGUUACCACUAAUACCAGUGACCUUAUGGCUUUAGCACAUUCUCAUCAGAACUACCAAAAUGACUCUCUAGGGUUUUCACAUUUUGGUGCGAAUGGGAUGAUGGGGUCUUCCACAGCUCUCGGCCAUAGUAACGUUGGUCUCUUGGAGAGCAAGUAUGGCGGUUUGCUUUCACCGAUCCCUAGACCUAUUGAUUUUUUGGACAGUAAGUUUGAUCUCAUGGGAGUGAACAAUGACAAUCUAGUCAUGGUUGAUCCUGGAAGUAACGGUGAUCAUCAUCAACAUCACAUGGGUCUAAAUCACGGAUUAGGUCUUAACAACAAUAACAACAACAAC
Molecule: long non-coding RNA, 2298 nt
Filed under: Brassica napus (rape)
Lineage: Eukaryota; Viridiplantae; Streptophyta; Magnoliopsida; Brassicales; Brassicaceae
Description: long non-coding RNA (BNAP_LNC013842)
Source: RNAcentral